Long non-coding RNA from Pomacea canaliculata, 1409 nucleotides. RefSeq lists it as uncharacterized. The transcript has 5 exons. The record is from RefSeq and is a predicted model, not a curated record. Lineage: Eukaryota; Metazoa; Mollusca; Gastropoda; Architaenioglossa; Ampullariidae.
UCAUUGUUUAUAGCGAACGCAUGUGCGCACGACUUUGUCUUGAGGAACAACGACACGCGCGUGGAGAUGUUUGGUUGCUUGAGAAUUAUCUUCUGGAAGCACUAUAAAAUAAUGACUGCUACAUACAUAUUUCUGAAAAGGAUGUAAAGACAUUUAGAAAUCUGAAUAGGUGACAUUUAAACCAGUUUUUUCCUUGACCAACCUUUUCUUUGGAGGGUCACGUGACUCUGACAGCUGGAUGGCUUGCACAGCGCCAAGCAGUGCUGACCUCAGGUUCACAUCAUGCAGACUGCUUACUUGUUAUCGUCUCAUUGCUGUUGUGCUUUUUACGCUGAAAUGGACACAGCAUGCGACAACUCAACAUCAUUGUGUGGACAUCAGGUUCCUCAAUCACCAGAAUGAUGUCAUUCAUUCCAUCGUCAAUCAUUACAUCAACAUCACGUUUGCUGUAGACUGGGUGAACUGUUCACUGUCCACGAGAUGGAGGCUUAAUCAAAGUUGUAGCCAACAUCAGUGGACAUGAUGUUGACGAGUGCAAACUGCCAGUGACCAGAAAUAUGUGUAAUGUUUCUGACAACACCCCGUGUGUCUGUUUGUCCCCUGCUGGACCAAUCAUCUUCAGAAAGAGGAUGGCAAAGGCUGGCAACAUGACCUACUUGUGGCUUCAUCAAGGGAAGGUGAUGAAAGAAAGGGUUUUAAUUGUUUCUUCAGACAACCCAGAUCCUGAUGGUGAAGCCUUCGUGCCUGCAGUGAACUCCACUCACGACCCUCUCUAUCGUCAAGUUUUGAUGGGCGGCGUUAUCGCUUGUUCUGUUAUUGUCGUCGUCAGCAUCAUUGGUGGUGUCAUCGUCUGUUACAGACUAGGUAUGAUCCGUCGGCGUCCACAAGCAGGAGGGCGUCGCCAGAACUCGGCGAAAGGUUUUUUGACUGAUGGAUGGGAGUCAGACAGACCGCAGUCUGAGGGACUGUAUGACGACCUGUACUGCUCAACAAAACUCUAAUAGCAAUACAAGUAAUUUUUUCGUGAAGAGUCAGUAGUGGCUUCAGUGGAUUCCUUCCUUCAUUGCAUCCUGAGACUAGCGAGGUGUUUAUCGUGACCAGUCACGUGGCCAGAACUGAUGGAGGGCAGCAGACGCGAACUGACGCCGGCAGGACAGUCUUCAUCCUGCCUGAGAAUGGUGUGGCUCAUCGGCAUCAGUCACGUGUUGUAGCACGCGAGCGAUGACGUUUGUCUCGAUGCCUGACUUGAACUGUGAUUUAGAGUGAUCUGAGAUUUCCUAGUCUUAUGUUGUUCAAGAGAUCACCCCAGCUGACAAGAAAUUGUUUAUUUACAUAUUUCAUCGAUUGAUUGUUUUCCUAGUUUGAUGUUUGACCGCGUGUGUACUUGUCUGUUGUGUUCUUGUCUGUCA